GAAAGACGUGCGCGUAGCCCGCGUAAAAUAUCGCUGCCACAUAACAACUGACCGUGCCCAGACCGAGCAUAGGGAUCUAAACAAAUCCAGAAAAUCUUACUCUUUAAGAAGAUCGUGAAGAGCAAAAGAGGAAAACUUUUAUAACGCAGACCUUCAAAUUUAUUCCUUUUCGAGUAUCAACGAUUCAACUCUAACCCGGAAUGAGACGAAGUCAAAUAGAGAAAAGCCAAAAAUACUCAAAGAUGAGACAAUUAAGAGGUACAUAACGGCAAAUCACAGCACUCUUUGGUCGCAAUUUGAAAGAAAUAUGGAUAAUCACCAUUGAAGACGAUACAUUAUUCAAUAUCUUUACUAUACCCUUUUACUAUAAUCUUUACUAUAUUCUUUUUAUAGAGGCAUACUUAAAAGGAAGCACAAUUAAUUGCUAAGUAAGAGUGUAUGUGUUUUCGUCGUUGUCGUAUUGCUGCUGCUGUUGUUGUUAUUAUUAUUAUUAUUGUUUAUUUUGUUGUAUGUAAUCGAUCGACAGAAAGAAACAAACGCAAAAGUAUAAGCAGAGGAGAGGACAGAUGGUGGGAAAAACUAAGGAAGAAACGAGUAUUACAUAAAUCAUCCUGUUAAUCCGUUAAUUAAUGGACUUCGAGUUGACGUCGAUUGAGAUAAUUAUGAGAUUAUAAAUAAUAUCAAGUCGAAAGAAAUUUCGACAAAAUGAUGAAUUAUCGGCGCGAAAUAUACAAACUAAUCGUAUCGUUAUAUUGAAGAAAUUCUAAUCGAGAAAAAAAAAUCUCGA
Long non-coding RNA from Vespula vulgaris, 787 nucleotides. RefSeq lists it as uncharacterized. The transcript has 2 exons. NCBI's taxonomy places the organism in Eukaryota, Metazoa, Arthropoda, Insecta, Hymenoptera, Vespidae. The record is from RefSeq and is a predicted model, not a curated record.